GACGAACGCUGGCGGCGUGCUUAACACAUGCAAGUCGAACGGAAAGGCCCUGCUUGCAGGGUACUCGAGUGGCGAACGGGUGAGUAACACGUGGGUGAUCUGCCCUGCACUUCGGGAUAAGCCUGGGAAACUGGGUCUAAUACCGGAUAGGAGCCAUUUUUAGUGGGAUGGUUGGAAAGUUUUGUGGGUGUAGGAUGAGCUCGCGGCCUAUCAGCUUGUUGGUGGGGUAAUGGCCUACCAAGGCGGCGACGGGUUGCCGGCCUGAGAGGGUGGACGGCCACAUUGGGGCCGAGGGACGGCCCAGACUCCUACGGGAGGCAGCAGUGGGGAAUAUUGCACGAUGGGCGCAAGCCUGAUGCAGCGACGCCGCGUGGGGGAUGACGGCCUUCGGGGUGGAAACUCCUUUCGCUAGGGACGAAGCUUUUUGUGACGGUACCUAGAUAAGAAGCACCGGCUAACUACGUG
This 465-nucleotide ribosomal RNA is filed under the name uncultured bacterium. RNAcentral's name for it is "partial 16S ribosomal RNA". It matches the Rfam family "Bacterial small subunit ribosomal RNA", at positions 28 to 507 of the family's 1533-position model. The record is from RNAcentral.